This 549-nucleotide ribosomal RNA is filed under the name uncultured bacterium. RNAcentral's name for it is "bacterial SSU rRNA". It matches the Rfam family "Bacterial small subunit ribosomal RNA", at positions 355 to 896 of the family's 1533-position model. The record is from RNAcentral.
UGGGGAAUAUUGCACAAUGGGCGCAAGCCUGAUGCAGCCAUGCCGCGUGUGUGAAGAAGGCCUUAGGGUUGUAAAGCACUUUCAGCGAGGAGGAAAGGUGAUUAGUUAAUACCUGAUUACUGUGACGUUACUCGCAGAAGAAGCACCGGCUAACUCCGUGCCAGCAGCCGCGGUAAUACGGAGGGUGCGAGCGUUAAUCGGAAUUACUGGGCGUAAAGCGUGCGUAGGCGGCUACUUAAGUUGGAUGUGAAAGCUCCGGGCUUAACCUGGGAACUGCAUCCAAAACUGGGUGGCUAGAGUGCGAGAGAGGAGUGUGGAAUUUCCUGUGUAGCGGUGAAAUGCGUAGAUAUAGGAAGGAACACCAGUGGCGAAGGCGACACUCUGGCUUGACACUGACGCUGAGGUACGAAAGCGUGGGGAGCAAACAGGAUUAGAUACCCUGGUAGUCCACGCCGUAAACGAUGUCUACUAAUUGUCCGUUGUCUUGUACGAUGGGUAAUGCAGCUAACGCGAUAAGUAGACCGCCUGGGGAGUACGGCCGCAAGGUUA